CUACGGGUCGCACCAGUGGGGAAUAUUGGACAAUGGGCGCAAGCCUGAUCCAGCAAUGCCGCGUGAGUGAUGAAGGCCUUAGGGUUGUAAAGCUCUUUUACCAGGGAUGAUAAUGACAGUACCUGGAGAAUAAGCUCCGGCUAACUCCGUGCCAGCAGCCGCGGUAUACGGAGGGAGCUAGCGUUGUUCGGAAUUACUGGGCGUAAAGCGCGCGUAGGCGGUUACUCAAGUCAGAGGUGAAAGCCCGGGGCUCAACCCCGGAACUGCCUUUGAAACUAGGUGACUAGAAUCUUGGAGAGGUCAGUGGAAUUCCGAGUGUAGAGGUGAAAUUCGUAGAUAUUCGGAAGAACACCAGUGGCGAGGGCGACUGACUGGACAAGUAUUGACGCUGAGGUGCGAAAGCGUGGGGAGCAAACAGGAUUAGAUACCCCGGUAGUC
This 438-nucleotide ribosomal RNA is filed under the name uncultured bacterium. RNAcentral's name for it is "partial 16S ribosomal RNA". It matches the Rfam family "Bacterial small subunit ribosomal RNA", at positions 339 to 795 of the family's 1533-position model. The record is from RNAcentral.